GUCGGGGUGGCGGAACAGGCAGACGCGCACGCUUGAGGGGCGUGUGGUAAACACCGUGUGGGUUCGACUCCCAUCCCCGACACCA
This 85-nucleotide transfer RNA is filed under the name Bacillota bacterium. Its description in RNAcentral is "Firmicutes bacterium (anaerobic digester metagenome) tRNA-Leu". It matches the Rfam family "tRNA". Rfam says of the family: Transfer RNA (tRNA) molecules are approximately 80 nucleotides in length. Lineage: Bacteria; Bacillati; Bacillota. The record is from RNAcentral.